Molecule: non-coding RNA, 204 nt
Organism: Pelobates cultripes (western spadefoot toad)
Lineage: Eukaryota; Metazoa; Chordata; Amphibia; Anura; Pelobatidae
Source: the annotation of a GenBank genome assembly
CAAAUGUAAGAGGCAGCAGAGGAAGAGAAAUAUGCAUUGGGGGCAUAGAAUAAUUUCAUUAUUUUGUUGUAAUAGAUAUGGGGAAUGAGGGAGCAGUUUCAAAAAGUGGGGAUUUUGUGGGAAGAGGGGACACAAUUUUGGGACACCAUUUGCUAGCCUGUAACCAAGGGAGUGAAUACAUUACAAUGUCAACUAUAAUCCAAC